GGCAGCAGCAGCAGCAGCAGUGGCGGCGGGGGGGGUCCUACAGCAUAAGCUCAUAAACAGCUCCAUGAUGACUGACCUAUGUUUUGAUUAGUGCCUGACGGAAGAUUAAGUGACCGGACUGAAUGUACGGCGGGUCCCAUCACCAGCUGGACACGUUGAGGGUGAGCAGCGAAAGCGGAGAGUUGUCGAGCUGGGCCGUGAUGUCGUCCAGACUGAAGUUAGAGGCCAGCGCCGUUCUCCCGUGGUGCCCGGCGGGAGCUCUGAUAGUGCCGGCAGGCGACGCCCUGGUGCUGCUGCUGCUACUGCUUGCCCCGCUGCUGCCCCCCCCGCCGCUGACACUGUUGCUACAGCUGCCGCCGCCGCCGCCGCCACCGCCGCCGCUCCCUGCUGGCUGCUGCCUGCUACUGCGCCCUGCUGGAGGUUUCUGACGGACCUGGAGACGCGGAGACAGAGUGCGUGUAGACGCAGUGACAACUAGCUGAAAAUGUGACUCUAAGAACAUGGAAAUGAGGACGUUUUUCCUAAUUUUUUGAUGUGUGGGCGUGUAUACCUUGGUGUCGGUCAGCCCCAGGCGAGCCAUGCCGCCAGCGCCGUGAGGCUUUGCGUUGACAGUGC
Molecule: long non-coding RNA, 615 nt
Organism: Xiphias gladius (swordfish)
Lineage: Eukaryota; Metazoa; Chordata; Actinopteri; Istiophoriformes; Xiphiidae
Exons: 3
Source: RefSeq, a predicted model, not a curated record